Molecule: long non-coding RNA, 582 nt
Filed under: Gallus gallus (chicken)
Lineage: Eukaryota; Metazoa; Chordata; Aves; Galliformes; Phasianidae
Description: long non-coding RNA NONGGAT005303
Source: RNAcentral
AGCUGUUUUCUGUUUGCCCUUGCCAGGCUGCCAGCUGAAUGCAAACACAUCCAGCUACUGCCGAGCAGUGAGUCCGGAGCUGCCAGCUUCACCAUCCAGCUGUUCCAGAUGCUGAAUCACUCCGUAGCCUAUCUGCACUGUGAGCUCAAUGUCUGUCUGCAGGGCCACACAGGCUGUGAGCAGGUACAUGGGCAGGGUCUUCCUUCACUGAUCUGAGCACCUUCCGAAGCUUUAAGGCUUCCUUCCCCAAGCUUGUCGAGGCUCAGGGAUGGGGCGCCUGCCAAACCCGUGCCAGUGCCUCUUGUUCAAUGUGGGUCGUGCCAUGGGUUUAAGAGGCACAGCACUACAGAGGCAGGCAGUGCUAAGAGGGCUAUGCUGGGCUCUGCUCAGUGCUCCCCAUCUCUUUCCAGGACUGCUUUGUUGGUGCGGAGCCGCUCCCCCCGCCAGAGGACAGGAACAGGCAUGGAAACCCACACAACAUGGUCUCAUUCGGCCCAGUUCUGAGAGCAAUGGGCAGCGUAGGGUACAAACCUGCAGAAGGUCCUAAUUCUGCCAUGCUGGUGCCCAUUCUGCUGGGAUCCC